RNAcentral lists this non-coding RNA (246 nucleotides) under Lactobacillus johnsonii. RNAcentral describes it as "T-box sequence". It matches the Rfam family "T-box leader". Rfam says of the family: Uncharged tRNA acts as the effector for transcription antitermination of genes in the T-box leader family. T-boxes are found upstream of many aminoacyl-tRNA synthetase genes and some amino acid biosynthetic genes usually in Gram-positive bacteria. The record is from RNAcentral. Lineage: Bacteria; Bacillati; Bacillota; Bacilli; Lactobacillales; Lactobacillaceae.
CUGAAAACAAAGAGAAAGAAGAGUAGUUUAGUCUUAAUUUACAGCGAGUCUCGUUAGGUGUGAGGAGAUAAAUUCUAAGGUUAAAUGAAAAUCACUUUCGAGUUCUAAUUCUUAAUCUUGAGUAAGAAGAAGUGGGAGCACCCAUUAUAGUGCUAACGUAUCGCCAAGUAAUUGGCCGCACGUGAAAGGUAUUGUUAGUGAUAACAAUAUAAAUAAAGGGUGGUACCACGCUGAAGCGUCCCUCAA